CAGCAGCCGCGGUAAUACGAAGGGUGCAAGCGUUAAUCGGAAUUACUGGGCGUAAAGCGUGCGUAGGCGGUUUGUUAAGUCUGUUGUGAAAUCCCCGGGCUCAACCUGGGAAUGGCAGUGGAUACUGGCAAGCUAGAGUGUGUCAGAGGAUGGUGGAAUUCCCGGUGUAGCGGUGAAAUGCGUAGAGAUCGGGAGGAACAUCAGUGGCGAAGGCGGCCAUCUGGGACAACACUGACGCUGAGGCACGAAAGCGUGGGGAGCAAACAGGAUUAGAUACCCCGGUAGUCCCUGUCUCUUAUAC
This 301-nucleotide ribosomal RNA is filed under the name uncultured bacterium. Its description in RNAcentral is "partial 16S ribosomal RNA". It matches the Rfam family "Bacterial small subunit ribosomal RNA", at positions 509 to 807 of the family's 1533-position model. The record is from RNAcentral.